This 608-nucleotide ribosomal RNA is filed under the name uncultured fungus. RNAcentral's name for it is "eukaryotic LSU rRNA". The stretch from base 234 to 387 matches the Rfam family "5.8S ribosomal RNA". The record is from RNAcentral. Lineage: Eukaryota; Fungi.
CUUGGUCAUUUAGAGGAAGUAAAAGUCGUAACAAGGUCUCCGUAGGUGAACCUGCGGAGGGAUCAUUACACAAAUAUGAAGGCGGGCUGGAACCUCUCGGGGUUACAGCCUUGCUGAAUUAUUCACCCUUGUCUUUUGCGUACUUCUUGUUUCCUUGGUGGGUUCGCCCAUCACUAGGACAAACAUAAACCUUUUGUAAUUGCAAUCAGCGUCAGUAACAAAUUAAUAAUUACAACUUUCAACAACGGAUCUCUUGGUUCUGGCAUCGAUGAAGAACGCAGCGAAAUGCGAUAAGUAGUGUGAAUUGCAGAAUUCAGUGAAUCAUCGAAUCUUUGAACGCACAUUGCGCCCUUUGGUAUUCCAAAGGGCAUGCCUGUUCGAGCGUCAUUUGUACCCUCAAGCUUUGCUUGGUGUUGGGCGUCUUGUCUCUAGCUUUGCUGGAGACUCGCCUUAAAGUAAUUGGCAGCCGGCCUACUGGUUUCGGAGCGCAGCACAAGUCGCACUCUCUAUCAGCAAAGGUCUAGCAUCCAUUAAGCCUUUUUUUCAACUUUUGACCUCGGAUCAGGUAGGGAUACCCGCUGAACUUAAGCAUAUCAAUAAGCGGAGGA